This 258-nucleotide ribosomal RNA is filed under the name uncultured bacterium. RNAcentral describes it as "partial 16S ribosomal RNA". The record is from RNAcentral.
CUGCUGCCUCCCGUAGGAGUUUGGGCCGUGUCUCAGUCCCAAUGUGGCCGUUCACCCUCUCAGGCCGGCUACUGAUCGUCGCCUUGGUGGGCUGUUACCCCGCCAACAAGCUAAUCAGACGCGGAUCCAUCGUAUACCACCGGAGUUUUUCACACCGUCUCAUGCGAGACUGUGCGCUUAUGCGGUAUUAGCACCUAUUUCUAAGUGUUAUCCCCCAGUAUACGGCAGGUUUUCCACGCGUUACUCACCCGUCCGCCA